GAUGAACGCUGGCGGCGUGCCUAACACAUGCAAGUCGAACGGAGUUUUGAAGAAGCUUGCUUUUGAGAAACUUAGUGGCGGACGGGUGAGUAACGUGUGAGCAAUCUGCCUCUGUGAGGGGGGAUAACACAGGGAAACCUGUGCUAAUACCGCAUAACAUAUUUUAGUCGCAUGACUUUAAUAUCAAAGGAGCAAUCCGCACAGAGAUGAGCUCGCAUCUGAUUAGAUAGUUGGUGAGGUAACGGCCCACCAAGUCUGCGAUCAGUAGCCGGACUGAGAGGUUGAACGGCCACAUUGGAACUGAGAAACGGUCCAGACUCCUACGGGAGGCAGCAGUGGGGAAUAUUGGGCAAUGGGCGAAAGCCUGACCCAGCAACGCCGCGUGAGGGAAGAAGUAUUUCGGUAUGUAAAGCUCUAUCAGCAGGGAAGAAAAUGACGGUACCUGACUAAGAAGCCCCGGCUAACUACGUG
Molecule: ribosomal RNA, 471 nt
Filed under: uncultured bacterium
Lineage: Bacteria
Description: bacterial SSU rRNA
Rfam family: Bacterial small subunit ribosomal RNA
Source: RNAcentral